GAUGAACGCUAGCUACAGGCUUAACACAUGCAAGUCGAGGGGCAGCGGGAUUGAAGCUUGCUUCAAUUGCCGGCGACCGGCGCACGGGUGAGUAACGCGUAUCCAACCUUCCGUACACUCAGGGAUAGCCUUUCGAAAGAAAGAUUAAUACCUGAUGGUAUGAUGAGAUUGCAUGAUAUCAUCAUUAAAGAUUUACCGGUGUACGAUGGGGAUGCGUUCCAUUAGGUAGUAGGCGGGGUAACGGCCCACCUAGCCAACGAUGGAUAGGGGUUCUGAGAGGAAGGUCCCCCACAUUGGAACUGAGACACGGUCCAAACGCCUACGGGAGGCAGCAGUGAGGAAUAUUGGUCAAUGGACGAGAGUCUGAACCAGCCAAGUAGCGUGAAGGAUGAAGGUCCUACGGAUUGUAAACUCCUUUUAUAAGGGAAUAAACCCUCCCACGUGUGGGAGCUUGUAUGUACCUUAUGAAUAAGCAUCGGCUAACUCCGUG
Molecule: ribosomal RNA, 490 nt
Filed under: uncultured bacterium
Lineage: Bacteria
Description: partial 16S ribosomal RNA
Rfam family: Bacterial small subunit ribosomal RNA
Source: RNAcentral